Molecule: ribosomal RNA, 432 nt
Filed under: uncultured bacterium
Lineage: Bacteria
Description: partial 16S ribosomal RNA
Rfam family: Bacterial small subunit ribosomal RNA
Source: RNAcentral
AACGAACGCUGGCGGCAUGCCUAACACAUGCAAGUCGAACGAGACCUUCGGGUCUAGUGGCGCACGGGUGCGUAACGCGUGGGAACCUGCCCUUAGGUUCGGAAUAACUCCCCGAAAGGGGUGCUAAUACCGGAUAAUGUCUUCGGACCAAAGAUUUAUCGCCUUUGGAUGGGCCCGCGUUGGAUUAGCUAGUUGGUAGGGUAAAAGCCUACCAAGGCGACGAUCCAUAGCUGGUCUGAGAGGAUGAUCAGCCACACUGGGACUGAGACACGGCCCAGACCCCAGGGGGGGGGGGGAGGGGGAAAAUUGGGAAAGGGGGCGAAAGCCUGAACCGCCAAGGCCGGGUGAGUGGUGAGGGGCUUGGGGUUGAAAAGCGCUUUUACCGGGGAGUAAAAGGACGUAACGGGGAAAAAAGCCCCGGGUAACCACGUG